RNAcentral lists this ribosomal RNA (511 nucleotides) under uncultured bacterium. RNAcentral describes it as "bacterial SSU rRNA". It matches the Rfam family "Bacterial small subunit ribosomal RNA", at positions 29 to 509 of the family's 1533-position model. The record is from RNAcentral.
AACGAACGCUGGCGGCGUGCCUAACACAUGCAAGUCGAGCGCGAAAGUCCCUUCGGGGGCGAGUAGAGCGGCGGACGGGUGAGUAAUACAUAGGUAAUCUACCUUCGAGCUUGGGAUAACCCCGCGAAAGUGGGGCUAAUACCGGAUAAGACCACGUAACCAUGUUGCGGGGUAAAAGGUGGCUUAUUUUUUAAAUGAGCUGUCACUUGAGGAUGAGCCUAUGGCCUAUCAGCUUGUUGGCGGGGUAAGAGCCCACCAAGGCUAUGACGGGUAGCUGGUCUGAGAGGACGACCAGCCACACUGGGACUGAGACACGGCCCAGACUCCUACGGGAGGCAGCAGUGGGGAAUAUUGGGCAAUGGGCGCAAGCCUGACCCAGCGACGCCGCGUGGGCGAUGAAGGCCUCGGUGUAAGACCUGUCAUGCGGAAGAACGAACCCUGUGACGCAUACUCACACGGGAGGUGACGGGUACCGCCGAGGAGGAAGGCGAACCGGCGUAAACUCCGUGCC